UGAACGCUAGCUACAGGCUUAACACAUGCAAGUCGAGGGGCAGCAGUUGGGUAGCAAUACUCAGAUGGCGACCGGCGCGACGGGUGAGUAACACGUAUCCAACCUGCCGCUUACUCGGGGAUAGCCUUUCGAAAGAAAGAUUAAUACCCGAUGGUAUAAAGAGUUCGCAUGUUCUCUUUGUUAAAGAAUUUCGGUAAGCGAUGGGGAUGCGUUCCAUUAGAUAGUUGGCGGGGUAACGGCCCACCAAGUCUACGAUGGAUAGGGGUUCUGAGAGGAAGGUCCCCCACAUUGGAACUGAGACACGGUCCAAACUCCUACGGGAGGCAGCAGUGAGGAAUAUUGGUCAAUGGACGAGAGUCUGAACCAGCCAAAAGUAGCGUGAAGGAUGACUGCCCUAUGGGUUGUAAACUUCUUUUAUAAGGGAAUAAAGUGAGGGACGUGUCCCUUUUUGUAUGUACCUUAUGAAUAAGGAUCGGCUAACUCCGUGCCAGCCGCGGC
Molecule: ribosomal RNA, 498 nt
Filed under: uncultured bacterium
Lineage: Bacteria
Description: bacterial SSU rRNA
Rfam family: Bacterial small subunit ribosomal RNA
Source: RNAcentral